RNAcentral lists this unclassified non-coding RNA (288 nucleotides) under fungal sp. Its description in RNAcentral is "partial internal transcribed spacer region". The stretch from base 1 to 46 matches the Rfam family "Eukaryotic small subunit ribosomal RNA", at positions 1786 to 1831 of the family's 1831-position model. Lineage: Eukaryota; Fungi. The record is from RNAcentral.
AAGUCGUAACAAGGUAACCGUAGGUGAACCUGCGGUUGGAUCAUUAGUGGUUUUUACGUAGCGCUGUUGUAGUGUUUCUGGGGGGUUUGGGGUUUGCUUAGGGUGUUGUUGGUUGUUUGUCUGUUUUUGUGCGAUGUCUUGUGCAGUGCCUUGUGCGGUGCCUGGCAGUACAAACGAUCGACGGCAACACUCGGACCAGACCCAAGCCCUUGCAGACAAUAGACGUCUUUGCUUGCUUUGAUGAAACCAAAUCAAAAACAACUUUUGACAACGGAUCUCUUGGCUCUC